GAUGAAGAACGUAGUGAAAUGCGAUAAGUAAUGUGAAUUGCAGAAUUCCGUGAAUCAUCGAAUCUUUGAACGCACAUUGCGCCCCCUGGUAUUCCGGGGGGCAUGCCUGUCCGAGCGUCAUUGCAACCCUCAAGCACGGCUUGUGUUAUGGGCCCUCGUCCCGCUAUUCUAGUGGACGUGCCCGAAAUGCAGUGAUCGCCGCCGCGACUCCGGCGCCCGAGCGAAUGGGAAUUUAACCACCGCUCAGUGGGCCCGGCCGGUGGCUUCGGUCUCAAACCACAAUUUUCUAAGGUUGACCUCGGAUCAGGUAGGGAUACCCGCUGAACUUAAGCAUAUCAAUAAGCGGAGGA
RNAcentral lists this unclassified non-coding RNA (350 nucleotides) under soil metagenome. Its description in RNAcentral is "partial contains 5.8S ribosomal RNA, internal transcribed spacer 2, and large subunit ribosomal RNA". The stretch from base 1 to 120 matches the Rfam family "5.8S ribosomal RNA", at positions 35 to 154 of the family's 154-position model. The record is from RNAcentral.